ACCGGGAUCGUCUAAUGAUCGGACACCUGCCUUUGAAGCAGCCUAUCGAGGUUUGAAUCCUCGUCCCGGUG
Molecule: transfer RNA, 71 nt
Filed under: Kouleothrix aurantiaca
Lineage: Bacteria; Bacillati; Chloroflexota; Chloroflexia; Chloroflexales; Roseiflexaceae
Rfam family: tRNA
About the family: Transfer RNA (tRNA) molecules are approximately 80 nucleotides in length.
Source: Rfam by way of RNAcentral